CCUAUACUCCCUCUGUCCGAAAAUACUUAUCAUCAAAAUUGAUAAAAAGGGAUGUAUCUAGAACUAAAAUAUGUGUAGAACAUCUCCCAUGAUCCAUUUUGAUGACAAGUAUUUCCGGACGGAGGGAGUACUUC
This is a non-coding RNA of Triticum aestivum (bread wheat), 134 nucleotides long. NCBI's taxonomy places the organism in Eukaryota, Viridiplantae, Streptophyta, Magnoliopsida, Poales, Poaceae. The record is from Rfam.